AUUGAACGCUGGCGGCAUGCUUUACACAUGCAAGUCGAACGGUAACAGGCCUUCGGGUGCUGACGAGUGGCGCACGGGUGCGUAAUGCAUCGGAACGUACCCAGAGGUGGGGGAUAACGCAGCGAAAGCUGUGCUAAUACCGCAUGUGAUCUGAGGAUGAAAGCGGGGGACCGCGCAGCAAUGUUUGGCCUCGCGCCUUUGGAGCGGCCGAUGUCGGAUUAGCUAGUUGGUGGGGUAAAGGCCUACCAAGGCGACGAUCCGUAGCUGGUCUGAGAGGACGACCAGCCACACUGGGACUGAGACACGGCCCAGACUCCUACGGGAGGCAGCAGUGGGGAAUUUUGGACAUUGGGCGCAAGCCUGAUCCAGCAAUGCCGCGUGCGGGAAGAAGGCCUUCGGGUUGUAAACCGCUUUUGGCAGGAACGAAACGGUGUCCGCUAAUACCGGGCGCUAAUGACGGUACCUGCAGAAUAAGCACCGGCUAACUACGUG
Molecule: ribosomal RNA, 492 nt
Filed under: uncultured bacterium
Lineage: Bacteria
Description: partial 16S ribosomal RNA
Rfam family: Bacterial small subunit ribosomal RNA
Source: RNAcentral